CGGACGGGUGAGUAAUGUCUGGGAAACUGCCUGAUGGAGGGGGAUAACUACUGGAAACGGUAGCUAAUACCGCAUAACGUCACAAGACCAAAGAGGGGGACCUUAGGGCCUCUUGCCAUCGGAUGUGCCCAGAUGGGAUUAGCUAGUAGGUGGGGUAACGGCUCACCUAGGCGACGAUCCCUAGCUGGUCUGAGAGGAUGACCAGCCACACUGGAACUGAGACACGGUCCAG
RNAcentral lists this ribosomal RNA (232 nucleotides) under uncultured bacterium. Its description in RNAcentral is "partial 16S ribosomal RNA". It matches the Rfam family "Bacterial small subunit ribosomal RNA", at positions 99 to 334 of the family's 1533-position model. The record is from RNAcentral.